AAAUUAGAGUGCUGGAAAAUAUGGCAAAGGUCAACUUGUAAUUGUUGUUCCUAUAAGACAGAGAAGCUCAGAGCUGUGUCACAGCAUGAGCAGACAUCACAUAACUGGAGAUAGGGAAGAUACUGAUUCAGCUGUGCAUUGAAACUACAUUCAGCACCCAACGAUGAGACAGAUUUUCCUCAAGAUAUAUGUUACCACUGCUGAGGAAAUCGUUGGGAUUAGUACUGUUGUAGCUGCAGACAAGGCAGAAGCCUUUUAUAAAUUACUUGUUGAAGAACUUUCAAGGUUUCUUAGAUUGUUUCUCAAACAUGCAUAUGUUCAGCUUAGGACCCAACAGUUAUUUACAUUAAGGUUUUAUGUUUAUGUGAUGAGGACAAGAAGGAGAACAGAGAAUCAUUUUACUUUCCAGAAAAUAGAUCUUCCUAAUCUGCACAAUCGAAAAAUUCAGUGCACUAGUAAUGAUAUCCAUGUGCAUAAAGUACCUGGUUUGCCUUGAAUAUUUAUAGUGAGACAAGAUGUUCUCAUCCAUUUUUAGAUAUUGGAAAAAAAGUAAAUCCCUCAAAGGAAAAAGAAAGAAUUCUGAGCUCAGGUUGUGUAAUUAUACAUAAUAACUUUGACGCCUAGAUAGAUAAGUUGAUUCACAUGAGAUCAGGACCUAUCCAAAAUUUUUUAUGUUAACUUGUCUAACAUAAACCCCAAAGAUUUUUUGGUAGCCUUUGCCAGUAAAUCAAACAGUUUGCAUGAAUAUUAAUGCUUACUAAAAUAAGGUAUUAAUAAUAAUAGCUAGAUCUAGAUACACUGUGCAAGGCACCUCUGAUACUUUUCAUUCACAAUUAUUCUAAUAUACAUCAGUCACUUUGAAGAAAGAAGUUACUUCUUCUUUGUCAAUAUUUUACAUAUUCUUGACAAAAGAAUGACUUGUUGUUGUUAUUGACAAUGCAUAUGCACGGCUUUCUGUCAUCUUCAGAUUGCAUGCUUUCCAGUCACUGCUCACUUAUUUCUCAUAACUUGCUUUCAAAGCAUGUAUGCAAGAGGGAAAUAUGUAUGCUUCAUAGUAAUAAAACUUAACUUUAGUCACCA
This 1080-nucleotide long non-coding RNA is filed under the name Anas platyrhynchos platyrhynchos (common mallard). RNAcentral describes it as "lncRNA (ENSAPLG00000027990.1)". The record is from RNAcentral. Lineage: Eukaryota; Metazoa; Chordata; Aves; Anseriformes; Anatidae.